GACGAACGCUGGCGGCGUGCUUAACACAUGCAAGUCGAACGGUGAAGGGGUCUGCUUUUGUGGGCCCUGGAUGAGUGGCGAACGGGUGAGUAACACGUGAGUAACCUGCCCCCUUCUUCUGGAUAACCGCAUGAAAGUGUGGCUAAUACGGGAUAUUCUGGGUCUGUCGCAUGAUGGGUCUGGGGAAGGUUGCGCCUUUGGGUGUUUUUGGUGGGGGAUGGGCUCGCGGCCUAUCAGCUUGUUGGUGAGGUGAUGGCCUACCAAGGCGGCGACGCGUAGCCGACCUGGGGGGCUGGUCGGCGAGACUGGAUGGGGGACAAGGUCAAGACGCCUACGGGAGGCAGCAGGCGGGAAUGUUGCGCUAUGGGCGAAAGCCUGACGGAGCAACGCCGCGUGAGGGGUGGAGGUCUUCGGAUCGUGAAGCUCUGUUAUUAGGGAAGAACAAAUGUGUAAGUAACUAUGCACGUCUUGACGGUAGCUAAUCAGAAAGCCACGGCUAACUACGUG
Molecule: ribosomal RNA, 507 nt
Filed under: uncultured bacterium
Lineage: Bacteria
Description: partial 16S ribosomal RNA
Rfam family: Bacterial small subunit ribosomal RNA
Source: RNAcentral